This 492-nucleotide ribosomal RNA is filed under the name uncultured bacterium. RNAcentral describes it as "partial 16S ribosomal RNA". It matches the Rfam family "Bacterial small subunit ribosomal RNA", at positions 29 to 507 of the family's 1533-position model. The record is from RNAcentral.
AGUGAACGCUGGCGGUAGGCCUAACACAUGCAAGUCGAACGGCAGCACAGUAAGAGCUUGCUCUUACGGGUGGCGAGUGGCGGACGGGUGAGGAAUACAUCGGAAUCUACUUUUUCGUGGGGGAUAACGUAGGGAAACUUACGCUAAUACCGCAUACGACCUACGGGUGAAAGCAGGGGAUCUUCGGACCUUGCGCUAUUGAAUGAGCCGAUGUCGGAUUAGCUAGUUGGCGGGGUAAAGGCCCACCAAGGCGACGAUCCGUAGCUGGUCUGAGAGGAUGAUCAGCCACACUGGAACUGAGACACGGUCCAGACUCCUACGGGAGGAAGCAGUGGGGAAUAUUGGACAAUGGGCGCAAGCCUGAUCCAGCCAUACCGCGUGGGUGAAGAAGGCCUUCGGGUUGUAAAGCCCUUUUGUUGGGAAAGAAAAGCAGCAGGUUAAUACCCCGCUGUUCUGACGGUACCCAAAGAAUAAGCACCGGCUAACUUCGUG